CUGAUGGGCUGCCGUCUGUGGGGUCGCACAGAAUCAGACACGACUGAAGCGACUUAGCAGUAGCAGCAGCAGGUCAGCAUCGGUCAUGGAUGCUGAGACCGUUGGUUGACAGUCUGAGGGGAAUGGGAUAUUUACAUUGUCUCAAGGUCUUCCCCAUAGUGUUAAUCACAGGGUAAAAAUGACAGUUCUGUAGUGAAGAAACCUGGGGAUUUAACAAUGAAGGAAUCAAAGCUUCUGUCACGGAUCAUGGGCCUCACUGGCAUGCAGGUCCCGCCAUGAUGCCUCCUACCGAGCAUCUCUGCUCAGAUGCAUAACCCGUGUCCGAUUCAAAUCCAGGGGCGACUGGCCUGAAGUCUGCAGAGGUGCCAGUAUCACAAAAGACCAGGGAGGUGGAAGAAGUGUUCUAGAAUAAAUUAGAUUCGGAAGACAGGACCACUGUGUGCCACACAUGAGUUCUGGAUCAGGAGAAUGUUCUUGUCUUUGAAAAAAUGCAUGAUGAAGGAUUUGGGAGUGAAGAAGCAGGAGAUUGUCACCUAACCCUCAAAAGGUUCAGAAAGAAUGUGAUUAUAUAUUAUAUAUGAAAUACAUAAAAUGUGUUAUAUGUAAUAUAAAGGGAAUGAUAAAGUGUUAAACUUGUGAAUCUGAAUAAAGAGUAUAUGGAAGGUUUUUGUACUGUU
Long non-coding RNA from Bubalus bubalis (water buffalo), 677 nucleotides. RefSeq lists it as uncharacterized. Lineage: Eukaryota; Metazoa; Chordata; Mammalia; Artiodactyla; Bovidae. The transcript is spliced from 2 exons. The record is from RefSeq and is a predicted model, not a curated record.